RNAcentral lists this transfer RNA (76 nucleotides) under Candidatus Yonathbacteria bacterium. RNAcentral describes it as "tRNA-Ala". It matches the Rfam family "tRNA". Rfam says of the family: Transfer RNA (tRNA) molecules are approximately 80 nucleotides in length. Their secondary structure includes four short double-helical elements and three loops (D, anti-codon, and T loops). Lineage: Bacteria; Candidatus Yonathiibacteriota. The record is from RNAcentral.
GGGCCUGUAGCUCAUUUGGUAGAGCGCACGAUUCGCAUUCGUGAGGUGAGGGGUUCGAAUCCCCUCAGGUCCACCA